AGAACGAACGCUGGCGGCAGGCCUCAAACAUGCAAGUCUAGGGGGUGUAGCAAUACAUCACCGGCGGACGGGUGCGUAACGCGUGGGAAUGUACCUAUUGGUUCGGAACAACUGAGGGAAACUUCAGCUAAUACCGGAUGAGCCCGAAAGGGGAAAGAUUUCUCGCCAAUAGAUCAGCCCGCGUCCGAUUAGCUAGUUGGUGGGGUUAAAGCCUACCAAGGCGACGAUCGGUAGGUGG
Molecule: ribosomal RNA, 238 nt
Filed under: uncultured bacterium
Lineage: Bacteria
Description: partial small subunit ribosomal RNA
Rfam family: Bacterial small subunit ribosomal RNA
Source: RNAcentral